This 485-nucleotide ribosomal RNA is filed under the name uncultured delta proteobacterium. RNAcentral describes it as "bacterial SSU rRNA". It matches the Rfam family "Bacterial small subunit ribosomal RNA", at positions 898 to 1382 of the family's 1533-position model. The record is from RNAcentral. Lineage: Bacteria; Deltaproteobacteria.
AACUCAAAGGAAUUGACGGGGGCCCGCACAAGCGGUGGAGCAUGUGGUUCAAUUCGACGCAACGCGAAGAACCUUACCUGGGCUAGACAACAGUGGACCGUCCUAGAAAUAGGACUUUCCCUUCGGGGACCGCUGGUUCAGGUGCUGCAUGGCUGUCGUCAGCUCGUGCCGUGAGGUGUUGGGUUAAGUCCCGCAACGAGCGCAACCCUCGUACUUAGUUGCCACCAUUAAGUUGGGCACUCUAGGUAGACUGCCGGCGUUAAGCCGGAGGAAGGUGGGGACGACGUCAAGUCAUCAUGGCCCUUAUGUCCAGGGCCACACACGUGCUACAAUGGUCGGUACAACGGGCUGCGAUCCCGCGAGGGUGAGCGAAUCCCUUAAAACCGGCCUCAGUUCGGAUUGGAGUCUGCAACUCGACUCCAUGAAGUCGGAGUCGCUAGUAAUCGCGGAUCAGCAAAGCCGCGGUGAAUGCGUUCUCGGGGAUU